Molecule: long non-coding RNA, 787 nt
Organism: Hibiscus syriacus
Lineage: Eukaryota; Viridiplantae; Streptophyta; Magnoliopsida; Malvales; Malvaceae
Exons: 2
Source: RefSeq, a predicted model, not a curated record
AAUAAAUCAUUUGUUUUCUUUCUGCAUCUUGGUUGACUACAUAUUGCUAUACACAUUACCUAAUCUGUAUUAAAUGGUUAACAUCAUGAAUCAGUCAACCCAUUUUUCUUUUUCGACCUUAUUGGGUUUAACUCAUAUAUGACAAAAAAUUUAUUCAAGUUCAUACUAAACUUCAAAAUUAUCAGAUCGACUGCUGCCCCAGCCUUGUCAGUGAUGAGUAAGUAUGAUGAUCUUGAUCUAUUUUCAAGUUUUAUACUCUUGUCAACACACCUUCAUAUGUUAUCUUUUCUGGUUAAAAUUUCUCUAAUGCUUGAAUUUUGCUAAUAAUUGUUUAGAUAGUGUUUCUGGCUUACAUAAAGAAAAUGCAAUUUUACUUUUCUUGCUUCAAUGAUGCAGAUGAAUUUUCGGGUGAUUUUAUAAAGCAAAAUUUGCUCCCUCUGGCUGUGCCCAUGAACCAUGAAACACUUGGUCUGUUGAGAUAUGAUGAUAGAAAAAUUGUCUUAACAAUGAUGGAAGAUGAAAAGGGAGAGAUCACAAAAAUUGAUCAAGUUAUUGAAGCCUGCUGCCUCUGCAAAUCGUGACUUGGUAUUUGGCUAUGUUGGAGUUAAACAGUGGAAAGAGUUUGCUGAUACAUUUGGUGCCAAUAAGAAUAAAAUGUUUCCGAAAUUGAUAAUCUGGAACGGGGAUGAGUAGUACUUUUCGGUUAUUGGUUCUGAAAGCCUUGAUGGCGAAGAUCAAGGGUCUCAAAUCUCACGAUUCCUGGAAGGAUAUAGGGAAGGAAGAACAG